RNAcentral lists this ribosomal RNA (496 nucleotides) under uncultured bacterium. RNAcentral describes it as "partial 16S ribosomal RNA". It matches the Rfam family "Bacterial small subunit ribosomal RNA", at positions 28 to 506 of the family's 1533-position model. The record is from RNAcentral.
GAUGAACGCUGGCGGCGUGCCUAAUACAUGCAAGUCGAGCGAACAGACGAGGAGCUUGCUCCUCUGACGUUAGCGGCGGACGGGUGAGUAACACGUGGAUAACCUACCUAUAAGACUGGGAUAACUUCGGGAAACCGGAGCUAAUACCGGAUAAUAUAUUGAACCGCAUGGUUCAAUAGUGAAAGACGGUUUUGCUGUCACUUAUAGAUGGAUCCGCGCCGCAUUAGCUAGUUGGUAAGGUAACGGCUUACCAAGGCAACGAUGCGUAGCCGACCUGAGAGGGGAAUCGGCCCCACUGGAACUGAGACCCGGUCCAGACCCCCACGGGAGGCAGAAGGGGGGAAUCUUCCGCAAGGGGCGAAAGCCUGAAGGAGCAACGCCGGGUGAGUGAAGAAGGUUUUGGGAUCGUAAAACUUUGUUUUUGGGGAAAAAAAAAUGUGAAAGUAACUAUGCACGUUUUGACGGUACCAAAUAAGAAAGCCACGGCAAACUACGU